GGUGACGACCCAGUGGUGGCUGUUGGGAAGCCAGCGUGUAGGAGGACGGCCUCGGGAUCACCUGCGGCUGCCUCUUCCUAAAAUGAGGUGAAAGUCUGAGGCAAAAAAACAGGGACCCCUGAGCUCAGGACCCUGGCCCAGAAGCUACUGCUGAUGGAGGGGAGCGCAGCCCUCAGGCCCACGUCUGCC
Long non-coding RNA from Orcinus orca (killer whale), 189 nucleotides. RefSeq lists it as uncharacterized. Lineage: Eukaryota; Metazoa; Chordata; Mammalia; Artiodactyla; Delphinidae. The record is from RefSeq and is a predicted model, not a curated record. The transcript has 2 exons.